This 276-nucleotide ribosomal RNA is filed under the name uncultured bacterium. Its description in RNAcentral is "partial 16S ribosomal RNA". It matches the Rfam family "Bacterial small subunit ribosomal RNA", at positions 79 to 353 of the family's 1533-position model. The record is from RNAcentral.
CUAAGUUUGAUGGCGACCGGCGCACGGGUGAGUAACACGUAUCCAACCUGCCGAUGACUCGGGGAUAGCCUUUCGAAAGAAAGAUUAGUACCCGAUGGCAUAGUUCUUCCGCAUGGUGGAACUAUUAAAGAAUUUCGGUCAUCGAUGGGGAUGCGUUCCAUUAGGUUGUUGGCGGGGUAACGGCCCACCUAGUCUUCGAUGGAUAGGGGUUCUGAGAGGAAGGUCCCCCCACAUUGGAACUGAGACACGGUCCAAACUCCUACGGGAGGCAGCAUG